AUUGAACGCUGGCGGCAUGCCUUACACAUGCAAGUCGAACGGCAGCACGGGAGCAAUCCUGGUGGCGAGUGGCGAACGGGUGAGUAAUAUAUCGGAACGUGCCCAGUCGUGGGGGAUAACGUAGCGAAAGCUACGCUAAUACCGCAUACGAUCUAUGGAUGAAAGCGGGGGAUCGCAAGACCUCGCGCGAUUGGAGCGGCCGAUAUCAGAUUAGGUAGUUGGUGAGGUAAAGGCUCACCAAGCCGACGAUCUGUAGCUGGUCUGAGAGGACGACCAGCCACACUGGGACUGAGACACGGCCCAGACUCCUACGGGAGGCAGCAGUGGGGAAUUUUGGACAAUGGGCGCAAGCCUGAUCCAGCAAUGCCACGUGCAGGAUGAAGGCCUUCGGGUUGUAAACUGCUUUUGUACGGAACGAAACGGUGAGCUCUAAUACAGUUUGCUAAUAACGGUACCGUAAGAAUAAGCACCGGCUAACUACGUG
This 484-nucleotide ribosomal RNA is filed under the name uncultured bacterium. RNAcentral's name for it is "bacterial SSU rRNA". It matches the Rfam family "Bacterial small subunit ribosomal RNA", at positions 30 to 507 of the family's 1533-position model. The record is from RNAcentral.